GGUUGGGGCUUUCAUCAAGGUGUUUCUAUAGGUUGGGGGCUUUCAACAAGGUAAGUGUUUCUAUAGGUUGGGGGCUUUCAUCAAGGUGUUUCUAUAGGUUGGGGGCUUUCAACAAGGUUAGUGUUUCUAUAGGUUGGGGGCUUUCAUCAAGGUUAGUGUUUCUAUAGGUUAGGGGCUUUCAUCAAGGUGUUUCUAUAGGUUGGGGGCUUUCAUCAAGGUGUUUCUAUAGGUUGGGGGCUUUCAUCAAGGUGUUUCUAUAGGUUGGGGGCUUUCAUCAAGGUGUUUCUAUAGGUGGGGGCUUUCAACAAGGUUAGUGUUUCUAUAGGUUGGGGGCUUUCAUCAAGGUUAGUGUUUCUAUAGGUUGGGGGCUUUCAUCAAGGUGUUUCUUUAGGUUGGGGGCUUUCAACAAGGUUAGUGUUUCUAUAGGUUGGGGGCUUUCAUCAAGGUUAGUGUUUCUAUAGGUUGGGGGCUUUCAUUAGGUUAGUGUUUCUUUAGGUUGGGGGCUUUCAUUAGGUUAGUGUUUCUUUAGGUUGGGGGGGCUUUCAUUAGGUUAGUGUUUCUUUAGGUUGGGGGCUUUCAUUAAGGUUAGUGUUUCUUUAGGUUGGGGGCUUUCAUCAAGGUUAGUGUUUCUUUAGGUUGGGGGCUUUCAUUAGGUUAGUGUUUCUUUAGGUUGGGGGCUUUCAUCAAGGUUAGUGUUUCUUUAGGUUGGGG
Oncorhynchus tshawytscha (Chinook salmon) is the source of this 711-nucleotide long non-coding RNA. The record is from Ensembl. NCBI's taxonomy places the organism in Eukaryota, Metazoa, Chordata, Actinopteri, Salmoniformes, Salmonidae.